CGAUACAGGGUGAUAGUCCCGUAGUUGACGACGUGUGUUCAGUGAAAUCGAGUAGGGCGGGACACGUGAUAUCCUGUCUGAAUAUGGGGGGACCAUCCUCCAAGGCUAAAUACUACUGACUGACCGAUAGUGAACCAGUACCGUGAGGGAAAGGCGAAAAGAACCCCUGUGAGGGGAGUGAAAUAGAACCUGAAACCGUGUACGUACAAGCAGUAGGAGCAGGCUUUGUCCUGUGACUGCGUACCUUUUGUAUAAUGGGUCAGCGACUUAUAUUCAGUGGCAAGGUUAACCAUCUAGGGGAGCCGUAGGGAAACCGAGUCUUAACUGGGCGUUCAGUCUCUGGAUAUAGACCCGAAACCAGGUGAUCUAGCCAUGGGCAGGUUGAAGGUUGAGUAACAUCAACUGGAGGACCGAACCGACUAAUGUUGAAAAAUUAGCGGAUGACUUGUGGCUAGGGGUGAAAGGCCAAUCAAACCUGGAGAUAGCUGGUUCUCCCCGAAAGCUAUUUAGGUAGCGCCUCGGACGAAUACUACUGGGGGUAGAGCACUGUUAAGGCUAGGGGGUCAUCCCGACUUACCAACCCUUUGCAAACUCCGAAUACCAGUAAGUACUAUCCGGGAGACACACGGCGGGUGCUAACGUCCGUCGUGGAGAGGGAAACAACCCAGACCGCCAGCUAAGGUCCCAAAUUACUACUAAGUGGGAAACGAUGUGGGAAGGCUCAGACAGCCAGGAUGUUGGCUUAGAAGCAGCCAUCAUUUAAAGAAAGCGUAAUAGCUCACUGGUCGAGUCGGCCUGCGCGGAAGAUGUAACGGGGCUAAGUAGUAAACCGAAGCUGCGGCAAUAUACUUUUGUAUAUUGGGUAGGGGAGCGUUCUGUAAGCGGUUGAAGGUGUGUGGUAACGCAUGCUGGACGUAUCAGAAGUGCGAAUGCUGACAUGAGUAACGAUAAAGGGGGUGAAAAACCUCCUCGCCGGAAGACCAAGGGUUCCUGUCCAACGUUAAUCGGGGCAGGGUAAGUCGACCCCUAAGGCGAGGCCGAAAGGCGUAGUCGAUGGGAAACGGGUUAAUAUUCCCGUACUUCUUACAAUUGCGAUGGGGGGACGGAGAAGGCUAGGUGGGCCUGGCGACGGUUGUCCAGGUUCAAGUGCGUAGGCUUAAGAGUUAGGUAAAUCCGGCUCUUUUUAAGGCUGAGACACGACGUCGAGCACCUACGGGUGUGAAGUCAUUGAUGCCAUGCUUCCAGGAAAAGCCUCUAAGCUUCAGAUUGUAAGGAAUCGUACCCCAAACCGACACAGGUGGUCGGGUAGAGAAUACCAAGGCGCUUGAGAGAACUCGGGUGAAGGAACUAGGCAAAAUGGUACCGUAACUUCGGGAGAAGGUACGCUCUUGAUGGUGAAGUCCCUCGCGGAUGGAGCUGACGAGAGUCGCAGAUACCAGGUGGCUGCAACUGUUUAUUAAAAACACAGCACUGUGCAAAAUCGUAAGAUGACGUAUACGGUGUGACGCCUGCCCGGUGCCGGAAGGUUAAUUGAUGGGGUUAGACUUCGGUCGAAGCUCUUGAUCGAAGCCCCGGUAAACGGCGGCCGUAACUAUAACGGUCCUAAGGUAGCGAAAUUCCUUGUCGGGUAAGUUCCGACCUGCACGAAUGGCGUAAUGAUGGCCACGCUGUCUCCACCCGAGACUCAGUGAAAUUGAAAUCGCUGUGAAGAUGCAGUGUACCCGCGGCUAGACGGAAAGACCCCGUGAACCUUUACUACAGCUUGGCACUGAACAUUGACCCUACAUGUGUAGG
This 1794-nucleotide ribosomal RNA is filed under the name Vibrio parahaemolyticus. RNAcentral's name for it is "partial 23S ribosomal RNA". It matches the Rfam family "Bacterial large subunit ribosomal RNA", at positions 354 to 2142 of the family's 2925-position model. The record is from RNAcentral. Lineage: Bacteria; Pseudomonadati; Pseudomonadota; Gammaproteobacteria; Vibrionales; Vibrionaceae.